CCUACGGGUGGCAGCAGUGAGGAAUAUUGGUCAAUGGCCGGAAGGCUGAACCAGCCAUGCCGCGUGAAGGUCAGUGCCCUAUGGGCGUUAAACUUCUUUUGACAGGGAAGAGUAGAAGACGGUACCUGUCGAAUAAGCCACGGCUAACUACGUGCCAGCAGCCGCGGUAAUACGUAGGUGGCAAGCGUUGUCCGGAUUUACUGGGUGUAAAGGGCGUGUAGCCGGGUUGACAAGUCAGAUGUGAAAUCCUGCGGCUUAACCGCAGAACUGCAUUUGAAACUGUUGAUCUUGAGUACUGGAGAGGCAGACGGAAUUCCUAGUGUAGCGGUGAAAUGCGUAGAUAUUAGGAGGAACACCAGUGGCGAAGGCGGUCUGCUGGACAGCAACUGACGGUGAGGCGCGAAAGCGUGGGGAGCAAACAGGAUUAGAUACCCUUGUAGUC
Molecule: ribosomal RNA, 442 nt
Filed under: uncultured bacterium
Lineage: Bacteria
Description: partial 16S ribosomal RNA
Rfam family: Bacterial small subunit ribosomal RNA
Source: RNAcentral